GUGCCAGCAGCCGCGGUAAUACGUAGGGGUCGAGCGUUGUCCGGACUUACUGGGCGUAAAGCGUGGGUAGGUGGAUCGUGAUGUGCCGUGUGAAAGCGCCGCGCUUCUCGCGGCGAGGUCGCGGUAGACACACGAUCUAGAGGCACGGAGAGGGGCGUAGAAUUCCCGGUGUAGUGGUGAAAUGCGUAGAUAUCGGGAGGAAUACCAGUGGCGCAAGCGGCGCCCUGGCCGUGACCUGACACUGAGCCACGACGGCGUGGGGAGCAAACGGGAUUAGAAACCCCGGUAGUCC
RNAcentral lists this ribosomal RNA (292 nucleotides) under uncultured bacterium. RNAcentral describes it as "partial 16S ribosomal RNA". It matches the Rfam family "Bacterial small subunit ribosomal RNA", at positions 505 to 796 of the family's 1533-position model. The record is from RNAcentral.